Dromaius novaehollandiae (emu) is the source of this 3069-nucleotide long non-coding RNA. RefSeq lists it as uncharacterized. NCBI's taxonomy places the organism in Eukaryota, Metazoa, Chordata, Aves, Casuariiformes, Dromaiidae. The record is from RefSeq and is a predicted model, not a curated record. The transcript has 7 exons.
CCGGCGCGGGGGGGAGGGGAGGGGAAGGGCAGGCAGGCAGGCGGCCCUGGCGCUGCCCGCGCCGGCUUCGCUUCUCGCCGGGCCGUGCUCGCUCGGCUCUGAGGGCGGCGGAUGCUGCGGAAGCCGCCGGGGCUGGCGGCCGGGCCGCGGCGCGGCGGGCGCGGGAGCCCGGCGCUGCGUGGGGAAGAGGUGCUGUUGGCCCCGCUCGCCCUGCUGCGCAGCCUGGGCGGACGGACCGUUUCUGCAGGAUUCUGGCGAACCUGUACUGAGUGACAAGGCGGUCUCGCUCCUUGUGUAGCUAACUAGGUCACUGUCAGCACUUAAUUACUGUUUGUUUCAUUUUAGUGCAUGCCUUAUGAAUAAGCCGGCUAUUAGGCUGAUGCUUCAAGUUACACUAUCCAGCACCAAGGAAAUAACAGAUGGAAAAAUGGAUUACAUAAACACUGUUGUAAAUAUGUAGGCAUCCAUCCUUUCCACUGCCUGGGUGCCAGAAGAGGGAGCACUGAGAACAGUGGAGCCCCAGCCUUAAUUCCAGUCCCCACUGCUGCCUCAGAGGAGAGUUACAUAGCAGAGGAUGAAGCAUUCAGGGUUGGAAUAGUCCUCAGUUCAACUGCGGUUACAGCAUCUCAGUCCAGACCGCCUGGAACAGUUUGAUCAACUAACUGGAUGUCCUGGAAAAACUCUCAAAUGAUUAUUUAGUUCGAUAUUCUCUGCUCAAGGGGUUCUGGUGGUUUCACAGCUAACAAAGGCUUGGUGUACUUUCAGCCUAUAUACCACAGAAUGUUGCACUGCUACUGAAGACCUAAAUAUUGAAGUCUAUGGUCCUCAGGGCUGGAGGGAAGCUGAGCCUAAAGAGAAGCUGCCAUGUUUGCUGGAUAAAUUAAAGAUUGGGAUUUGGAAGGUAUUGGCAGUUUUUGGAAACAUUCCAGAAUGUCAUGCUUCCAAACAUUGUAUGAGACCUGCACCAAAUCAUGUAACUUUGCAAGAAAAGAGAGAAGGUUCCCUGCACGUGAAAUCCUGACGAUGCCAUGUUAAAGUGGAAAGUACGGAGAUACCUGAAUGACGUUCAUGGUGCAAAAUCCUGGGAAGGGCAGAACCCAAGCGCUCCAGGAAAUGCAGAGCUGAGAUUUAAAGAUGAGCAUUGGGGCUGCUCUGUAGCCCAGAGCCUCAUGUCGUGCUGGUGCCCGAAUGGUUGUGUCAGCAGAGACUCCUAGUGGACAUGCUGUGCUUGCUGUGAGAAGAAAAGCAAUAAAUCUUGGAGGAAGUCACACCACCUCUCAUCAUGACAUAGGUUUGGCAAAAGUGCCUCACCCACCCUACUCGCAUAGAAAAAAAGAGAAGCACCCUCCCGGCAGAGCCAAUGUGUCAGCACGGUAUGUACACUAGGGCUUGUGAUUUCUCCUGCCUCCCACAUGUGCCUUAAAUGACAUAGAUAUGUAAGAAGACUUUUGCAGUGUAAAUUUGGGAUUAAUUUUGUCCCUUGGGAUCUCUUCAGGUUUACUAAAUAAUAACAUAAAAGUGUAUUCUAAAAAUACAAUUUCAAUAUACUGUGAUAUGCUACAUGAUAUCUUGGUCUAAUUAUAUGUGAUGCAUAUUUACAUGAACCUUAAUGAGACUUACAAAAGUAACAGGCACAUUUUAAAGAAAAUUGGAUUAAAUGGCUUAAUUCUUCACAGUUAAAGACUUUAAAUUUUAAUGAAGUCUUGAGUUUGAGGAUAAUAACUAUAAGACUGGAUGCUUAAAAAAACUAAAAUUUAAAACCAAGUUUGUAUGUCUGUAAUGUGCAUUAUCAUCGAUGUGUUUGUGUAGCAGUAAUUCCUAGAAGUAUGUGCAUUAAAAUGACAAAUUUCAAAAGCCAGCAUAGGCCUUUUCCAAACACCUCAGGGUUUUGUAGUGUGUUUUUAUCUCGCUGUACCUAGGCUGAUGUCCUGCACUGGUGCAAACGCAAAUGCAUGUGUGGAAACUUCUGCACAAUGCCACUAAUGAAAUGUAUUGGUGUGGUUCUCUUUCAGUCAUGGGGGAAUGCAAUUUUAGCUUUGCUUAAUGUGUAGUACAGGCAAAAGGCUCUUUGAUUCUCUAUUUUCUACCUCAAAUACAAUCUUUACAGAAAAAAACAUCAGAGGUAACUUGUAUUCCAGCCUAUCAUUCCUCUUGUCUGUUGUUACAAUGCCUCCUGACCUCAGGAAUUUUCUGGACUUUCUAAAUAUUCUGAUCUGUGGAUUUUAAAGUUUCCUUCGAUUUGAAUUUUUUUCCCUGUGCCUCCUGAAGUUCUAAAGAACUUUGCAUUAAACUUUCAGUUAUGAGCAGUGGAACUGAUGAAGCCCAGAUAAUUCCCGCAGUUAUUUUAAGCUCUUUCUCACAUUGGGCCCUUCUCACAGGUAGGAUUAUCUGCUUGUCUGGGAAAGAAAUCAUUUUGGACCUCUAUGUAUGUUGUUCGACGAGAUGGGUUUCAGGUGCUGAUUGUCCAGCUGUCUGCUGCUCCCGAAAUGAGUGAAAGGCUGAGUUGUAGGUAAUUCUCUUUCCCUGGGAGUGUACAUGUGUGUGUGCACUGUGUGUGGUGUGGGCAGGGGUUCAUCCUCUCGUCUACUUACUGGCCACUAUUCAUACCUGUUGACAACACAAACGGUUUUAAUAGCAGCCAUAUACAUAAAAAAGAGUUGGCCCAUAAGAAGCCUACCUGUACUAGAAAUUUUUUUGGUUGUCAUGAGGUGAUAAGAAUUUGUCUUGGCCUAGGGAAAGGUAUUUGUUAAUUGGAGAAAUGGCCAUAAAACCUUGUGAUGAAUUAAUUUGUUGGAUCUGUAUGUAUUUAGAGGAUAAUAAGAAUGCUUUGAUGGUAAUAAAAGAAACUCCUAAUAAGCCAUUUAUGUGGUUAUUCAGUUUUGCCUGCAACAAUUUUGUUAAGUCAUCAUAAUUCUAAAGGGAUUUAAUAACAGGUUUGCAAUUUUUGUGACCUUUAUGACAUUACUAAUAUAGUGUUAUGUAAAAAUGAAUGAAUUUAUGUUUAACUAAUGGAAUAAGGUAUUCUUGAAGUGCUGUGAAAUACACAAAUAUAUAACCUAAACAGUUUGA